RNAcentral lists this long non-coding RNA (3154 nucleotides) under Sus scrofa (pig). Its description in RNAcentral is "lncRNA (ENSSSCG00060047300.1)". Lineage: Eukaryota; Metazoa; Chordata; Mammalia; Artiodactyla; Suidae. The record is from RNAcentral.
AAGGGACAUAUGAUUACUGGAUGGUUUUAGGAGACAAUUGUUUAUAACUAAUAACAGCAGAUGUAACUCAUUCUUCUUCAUUAAUUCACCCAUCAUAUGCAAUUUUUGCUAUAAAAGCUUUGCUAGAGAAGAAAUACCUGUUUGUGACUGAAUAGAAGAAGGAAUGAAUGAGUAGAUACCAACAGAAGGACUGCUGAUGAUACUUUCAAAAUGUUUCUCCAAGUGUAGGCAGUGGACCCCAUAGUGAAGUCAGCCAGAUUGCUGAUCUAAAAUGCGGGGCUCUCCAAGGUAAGGCUUGGAAGUGUGCACCUUAAGUUCCUGGGUGAUUCUCAUAGCUCUGAAGGCUAGCAUCUUUGCCUCAGAGGAAGGUGUAAGCAGAACUUGGGUGGACGUGGAAGCUGAGCUGUGCAUAUCUGAACAGAUCCUGAUGGUAGUGGGGAGAAGCCAGGAGAGAGAACCUCAGUUAGGCAGAAGCACUCUGAUGUCUGCUCUGAGGGGGUGGUUUGCAGAACUAUACUUCAAUUUAAAAAAGAAGAUAAAUUUGAAAAAACUAAAAAAAAAAAAAAAAAAAGAAAGAAAGAAAGAAAAGAAAACAGUAUUGGGUCUGGGACACUGAGCCCUGCCUCCUAGGAACGAGACACGCAAGAUGUCACAUACCAGCACACACAACAACGGCUCCCAGGACACUGCUGCUGCCUUAGGUUUGCCGCUGCUCUUAGCAUCUUUCCAAAAAGGGGCCAUCCCAACCUGGUGGUAAGGAAGAAGCUCCCCAGAGCAGGACAGAAUCCCACGGGGCAUGUCAGAGCAGACAAAGACUGGGUCCUAUGGGAGGAGUAAGUGGCUAUUAUAAGUUGUUUGGGCUUCUAUCUGUAGGUGACAGGGACCUCAAGACAUUUGCUUUUUAAGAUGAGAGCUGAUAUAUCCAAAAGUGCACUUGAGAAGAUGCAGCUGAGAAACAUGUACAGGUGGGAGGGGGCAGAAAACACAGGAAGGGAAUCCAGUAAGAAGAUCGCUGCUCAAGUUUACCCAUUAGAGUCCGUCUCCGUUUCCUGGAGAGUUUUCACAUUUCUGGCCAGUGCUGAUUAUUUCCAACUGACUCUCGAAAGUGUAGACAUUGUCUUAUCACUCUGUGUGUUUCCCACUAUGUAUGGUGCUGAAAUGAACCAAGCCAUGCCCAUCUCCUGGUAAUGACAAUACACUUGAUGUCUACUUCAAUGCAAAUCACAGUUAUCAGCCUUUUAUUUUUUAAUUCACCAUAUUAUUUUUUUUAAUUCACCCUACAAAUACGUACCAGAUUCAUAUUUUGUCCUGGAAUGAUGAGAGACGUUAUCUGCCCCCAUGGGCAGUGCCGUUCACUGCUUCCAAUGGACACGGAGGUGGGAGUGUGUGAGGGUGCUGCAGGUGCAAAUAACACCAGCAAAGGUCCAGGGACCCCGAAGAGAACUAUCUCCUCCAGGGAGGUAAGAACUGCCCCACAAGAGAUGGGGUAGUGGCAGUGGAGGAAAAGCAUGACCUUGAAUGUCCUACAAAGGAGUUUGACAUGUAACCUCCAGACACUAGGAAGCCAUUGAAGGCUUUGAAGCAGGUGAGUUCAUGGACCAGAUCUGGGUUUUAGAACAUAAACUUUCUAAGCAAGCACAGCAUGAACUGGCAAAGGUAGAUUCCUGGGAUGGGCACGUUCACUGGAACGUGGCUGCCACUGUCCAGGUGAAAGACGGUAGGGGCCCAAGUGAAGGCGCCAAUCUGAAGAGGCCAAAAGACCACGAGGAGAUCAAUCUAUACGCCUAAGGAGGAGCUGAAAAACAUCCCUGCCCUGAUGACCACGUGGUCCAAAGAAUGCCGCUGAUUAAACAUGCCUCAGGGAGGAAGAGUGUGUACGAGGCAGGCUGACACCUUGGGUUCUAAUUCAUUCCUCACUGCAGUUAGAGCAUCACGGUUUGCACUGAACUCACAGACCUGGCCACAGCCCUCCGCUGCUCUGAGCUCUCGCGUGGACCACCUUCCUCAGCCUCAUCAAGUUCCAACUCAUUACCGCCCAGGCCUACAUUCAUCAGCUGCCUGCUUGACGGAAGUGGUGGCAGUAGGUGUCCUUUCAGGAAAGGGUGGCUACAUGGUGAAUUAAGAGGCAGCGCCUACCUUUUUUUAAAUCAAUGUUUUGAAUUAAUUAAUACCUAAUAAUUCAAUUUUUUGAAUUAAUUAGUGCAAGAAACAUUUCCUGAGCGCCUCUGUGUAACCAGUACAUUAUCAAAGUAGCGAAAAGAACAGACAAAAAUCCCCACCCUCGUGUAGGAGACACUCUGGUGAGAGAGGCAGAUAAUACCCAGCAAGAAAGUAAUAGGGAGGCAGUGACAGUGUUAAGGGGGAAAGGUCGGGAAGAGAAGAACAGGGGAGGGAAAAGGAAACCUUUUCCUGAGGGAGAGGCCAAUGCGAAGGUACUUGUUGGGUAAAAUCCUGAAGGACGUGAGGGUGCCAGCCAAGGGACAGCAGGGGAAGAGCAUCCCAGGCAGAGCACACAGCAAGUGCAAAGGCCCUGGGGUGGGAGCCUGACUGCCUCCUAUACAUCCUACCUUACUGAGGCUCACAAGCUCAGAGUCACUGAUUUAUUCAUCUCUCCCAUAAGCCAGACCAUGUGCCAGGCACUUGAGAUACCAGAUGAAUAAGUUUCACUGCCAGUAAAUCCACACAUAGAGACGAAUGACAGGCUGAUGCUGCUUAAAAACUCAAACUGACUCUUCUAACUCACAAGGUCAAUGUUAGUUCAAAGGGACAAUUUGGCUUUUUUCAUUGGCUGUUUUCAGAGAGGGGCAAUGUAUCACUUUAAACAUAAAAUGUCACCCUUAUCUAUUUUAUGUGUAGAGAUGACACAUUUACUAUUUUAUUUGAAAAAACGAUUCUUCUGUUCAAAAGAGAAACGCGGCCUAACAGUUUCAUAACCACUGGACUAAACCUGGAACUUCCCUGCCAGCCUGGACAACAACUCAGGGCUGACAUGUCACCUAUCACUAGGACUGAGCCACCACACAAUUUCCAUGCAAUUCCACGACCCAACGCCAGCUCUGGACAACUCAGUUUAGACCUAAUAUGAGCGUCCACAGGAUUCAAACACAGCUGCUUAAUUCAAUUUUUAAAAAUUUAAUCACCCCCAUUUUUUUUU